CCUACGGGAGGCAGCAGUGGGGAAUAUUGCACAAUGGGGGAAACCCUGAUGCAGCGACGCCGCGUGUGUGAAGAAGUAAUUCGUUACGUAAAGCUCUAGCAGCAGGGAAGAAAAUGACGGUACCUGAGUAAGAAGCCCCGGCUAACUACGUGCCAGCAGCCGCGGGAAUACGUAGGGGGCAAGCGUUAUCCGGAUUUACUGGGUGUAAAGGGGGGGUAGACGGGGGGCGAAGUCUGGAGUGAAAUGCCGCCGGUUAAAUGCGGAACUGCUUUGGAAACUGGCGAACUAGAGUGCGGGAGGGGUAAGCGGAAUUCCUAGUGUAGCGGUGAAAUGCGUAGAUAUUAGGAGGAACACCGGUGGCGAAGGCGGCUUACUGGACCGUAACUGACGUUGAGGCUCGAAAGCGUGGGGAGCAAACAGGAUUAGAUACCCGAGUAGUC
RNAcentral lists this ribosomal RNA (440 nucleotides) under uncultured bacterium. RNAcentral describes it as "partial 16S ribosomal RNA". It matches the Rfam family "Bacterial small subunit ribosomal RNA", at positions 338 to 795 of the family's 1533-position model. The record is from RNAcentral.